GAGGGUGCAGUUCAGUGGUAGAGCGCGUGCUUAGCAUGCACGAGGUCCGGGGUUCAAUCCCCAGUGCCUCCA
This 72-nucleotide transfer RNA is filed under the name Camelus bactrianus (Bactrian camel). It matches the Rfam family "tRNA". Rfam says of the family: Transfer RNA (tRNA) molecules are approximately 80 nucleotides in length. Their secondary structure includes four short double-helical elements and three loops (D, anti-codon, and T loops). Lineage: Eukaryota; Metazoa; Chordata; Mammalia; Artiodactyla; Camelidae. The record is from Rfam by way of RNAcentral. RNAcentral also lists the same sequence under 2 other names.